CGGCGGACGGGUGAGUAACACGUAGGAACGUACCCCAAACUGAGGGAUAAGCACCAGAAAUGGUGUCUAAUACCGCAUGUGCUCUUCGGAGUAAAGCUUCGGCGGUUUGGGAACGGCCUGCGCAUGAUUAGCUUGUUGGUGAGGUAAUAGCUCACCAAGGCGACGAUCAUUAGCUGGUCUGAGAGGAUGACCAGCCACACUGGGACUGAGAUACGGCCCAG
This 221-nucleotide ribosomal RNA is filed under the name uncultured bacterium. RNAcentral's name for it is "partial 16S ribosomal RNA". It matches the Rfam family "Bacterial small subunit ribosomal RNA", at positions 96 to 334 of the family's 1533-position model. The record is from RNAcentral.